This 492-nucleotide ribosomal RNA is filed under the name uncultured bacterium. Its description in RNAcentral is "partial 16S ribosomal RNA". It matches the Rfam family "Bacterial small subunit ribosomal RNA", at positions 29 to 507 of the family's 1533-position model. The record is from RNAcentral.
AGUGAACGCUGGCGGUAGGCCUAACACAUGCAAGUCGAACGGCAGCACAGUAAGAGCUUGCUCUUACGGGUGGCGAGUGGCGGACGGGUGAGGAAUACAUCGGAAUCUACUUUUUCGUGGGGGAUAGCGUAGGGAAACUUACGCUAAUACCGCAUACGACCUACGGGUGAAAGCAGGGGAUCUUCGGACCUUGCGCGAUUGAAUGAGCCGAUGUCGGAUUAGCUAGUUGGCGGGGUAAAGGCCCACCAAGGCGACGAUCCGUAGCUGGUCUGAGAGGAUGAUCAGCCACACUGGAACUGAGACACGGUCCAGACUCCUACGGGAGGCAGCAGUGGGGAAUAUUGGACAAUGGGCGCAAGCCUGAUCCAGCCAUACCGCGUGGGUGAAGAAGGCCUUCGGGUUGUAAAGCCCUUUUGUUGGGAAAGAAAAGCAGCAGGUUAAUACCCCGCUGUUCCGACGGUACCCAAAGAAUAAGCACCGGCUAACUUCGUG